RNAcentral lists this ribosomal RNA (900 nucleotides) under Triticum aestivum (bread wheat). Its description in RNAcentral is "partial small subunit ribosomal RNA". Lineage: Eukaryota; Viridiplantae; Streptophyta; Magnoliopsida; Poales; Poaceae. The record is from RNAcentral.
AUGAUCAAAGAACUUUUUAAGGAUAAUGCCAGUGUUCUAUCUAGCAUUCUGGCUAUGGACAUAAUGAGCCUUGAAGAGACAUUAAAGAAAUAUCUGGAGCAAAGGAAGUACUUUAUCAUAUUGGAUGAUGUUUGGGAUCCGGAAGCAUUUAAUGAUUUGUCAAGGAUGUUUAUUCAUAAUGAUAAGGGCAGUAGAGUGAUGCUCACAACAAGGGAAGCCUGCGUUGCCGCACUUGCCUCUCCAGGACGUAUCUUAACACUGGAAGCUUUACCAGAAUACAAGGCAUGGGAUCUCUUUUGUAAGAAAGCCUUUCCAAGAGAUACAAAUCAUGAAUGUCCCACAGAAUUGAAGCCAUUGUGCAAGGAAAUAGUUAGCAAGUUCAAAGGCUUGCCUCUUGCUAUCGUGUCAGUUGGUAGCCUCUUGCGUGUGCGUGAUAAAACCGUGGAAGAAUGGAGAAGAAUAAACGAACAACUGAGCUGGGAGAUAAUUAACAAUUCAAGGCUGGACCACAUAAGGAAUGUUCUGCAUCUAAGCUUCAUCUACCUCCCAACAUACUUAAAAAGUUCUUUCCUAUACAGCAGCUUAUUUCCAGAAGACUAUCAUUUUAAAAGGAAACAACUUGUACGGUUAUGGACAACAGAGGGAUUCAUCGAGGAGAGGGGUGAAAGCACACUAGAAGUAGUGGCAGAAUGCUAUCUAAAAGAGUUGGUUGACAGAAACAUGCUGCAACUUGUUGAGAGAAACUCAUUUGGUCGGAUGAAGAAAUUCAAAAUGCACGAUCUCGUACGUGAACUCGCAGUUGAUUUGUGCAAGAAGAAUUGUUUUGGUGUUAGUUAUGAGGAUCAGUGUGGGGGGUCUCUUGAGAUGAAUGGACGUCGGUUGGUGCUUCACAAACUAUAG